GCGGACAUAGCUUAGUUGGUAAAGCGCAACCUUGCCAAGGUUGAGACCG
RNAcentral lists this transfer RNA (49 nucleotides) under Bifidobacterium longum. RNAcentral describes it as "tRNA-Gly". It matches the Rfam family "tRNA", at positions 1 to 47 of the family's 71-position model. From Rfam's summary of the family: Transfer RNA (tRNA) molecules are approximately 80 nucleotides in length. Lineage: Bacteria; Bacillati; Actinomycetota; Actinomycetes; Bifidobacteriales; Bifidobacteriaceae. The record is from RNAcentral.